Molecule: ribosomal RNA, 636 nt
Filed under: Meloidogyne cf. graminis TSH-2005
Lineage: Eukaryota; Metazoa; Nematoda; Chromadorea; Rhabditida; Meloidogynidae
Description: SSU rRNA
Rfam family: Eukaryotic small subunit ribosomal RNA
Source: RNAcentral
GGCGAUCAGAUACCGCCCUAGUUCUGACCGUAAACGAUGCCAACUAGCGAUCCGCCGAUGGAGAUUAUGUUGCCUUGGUGGGGAGCUUCCCGGAAACGAAAGUCUUCCGGUUCCGGGGGAAGUAUGGUUGCAAAGCUGAAACUUAAAGGAAUUGACGGAAGGGCACCACCAGGAGUGGAGCCUGCGGCUUAAUUUGACUCAACACGGGGAAACUCACCCGGCCCGGACACUGUGAGGAUUGACAGAUUGAUAGCUUUUUCAUGAUUCAGUGGAUGGUGGUGCAUGGCCGUUCUUAGUUCGUGGAGUGAUUUGUCUGGUUUAUUCCGAUAACGAGCGAGACUCUAACCUACUAAAUAGCUGAUACAUAUUUUUGUGUAUUCGGCUUCUUAGAGGGAUUUGCGGUGUUCAGCCGAAAGAAAUUGAGCAAUAACAGGUCUGUGAUGCCCUUAGAUGUCCGGGGCUGCACGCGCGCUACACUGGCAAAAUCAACGUGCUUGUCCUGCCCCGAAAGGGGUGGGUAAACCAUUGAAAAUUUGCCGUGAUUGGGAUCGGAAAUUGCAAUUAUUUUCCGUGAACGAGGAAUUCCAAGUAAGUGCGAGUCAUCAGCUCGCGUUGAUUACGUCCCUGCCCUUUGUA